This 711-nucleotide small RNA is filed under the name Pongo abelii (Sumatran orangutan). Its description in RNAcentral is "processed transcript". Lineage: Eukaryota; Metazoa; Chordata; Mammalia; Primates; Hominidae. The record is from RNAcentral.
UGUACAGUUUUGGCCAGGGGACCAAGCUGGAGAUCAAACAUAUUUGAGUUCUGGGUCUGGAUCCUGGUAGCCACCACACAGGCAGCAAACCCAUUGCUGCAAGGAUGGGUGAUAUAUGUCUCACUCACCUUGUUUCUCAUCUCCCUGGUGUUCCUGUUGUCUUCCUUGUUUGGAUUUUACAAAAGAUUUGAAUCCUGGAGAGUUCUGUUCUUUGCCUUCGUCACCAUGCUGCUCUACAUUCUCCAUGCCUUCAGCAUCUAUUACCGCACAGGCACCAGGCCAAGGGGGAAAUGCUCUUUGAGAGCCCUGAUUAUUUCUCCCCAAAAGCAGCUUCCAGUGCUUGCCAUCUGGAUGAUAAACAGAAGAUACACUAAAACAUCCACAGGAUUAACAGAGCUUCCUUGCAGACUAAGCGAUGACACCACACUUUGGACAUUUAAAUUCACUCUACUGAAUAGGAGGAAGCUUUCAUUUUCUUUUUCCUGGGAAAGUAACUGUCUCUUGGAAUUAUCUGACUGUGAACUUGCUCUUCUAGCAAACUCACAUCAAAGCCCUCACUGUUGAGAAUCCCAGCUCCACUGUCAAGCCUGUUUAGGAAUUUUGCCUCAGCUGUGGGCUUCCCUAGAGUAGGUUCAGGGGAAUACUCAGCCUGAUUCUCUUGAAAUUGAAGAGGUGCCGCCAAGGCCUUCAGAUCUAAUGCAGAUCCACAGA